GAUUCCCCUAGUAACUGCGAGUGAAGCGGGAAAAGCUCAAAUUUAAAAUCUGGCGGUCUUUUGGCUGUCCGAGUUGUAAUCUAGAGAAGUGUUAUCCGCGCUGGACCGUGUACAAGUCUCCUGGAAUGGAGCAUCAUAGAGGGUGAGAAUCCCGUCUUUGACAUGGACUGCCAGGGCUUUUGUGAUGCGCUCUCAAAGAGUCGAGUUGUUUGGGAAUGCAGCUCAAAAUGGGUGGUAAAUUCCAUCUAAAGCUAAAUAUUGGCGAGAGACCGAUAGCGAACAAGUACCGUGAGGGAAAGAUGAAAAGAACUUUGGAAAGAGAGUUAAACAGUACGUGAAAUUGCUGAAAGGGAAACGCUUGAAGUCAGUCGCGUCGUCCAGGGAUCAACCUUGCUUUUGCUUGGUGCACUUUCUGGUUUGACGGGUCAGCAUCAAUUUUGACCAUUGGAAAAAGAUCAAGGGAAUGUGGCAUCUUUGGAUGUGUUUAUAGCCCUUGGUCACAUACAAUGGUUCGGGAUUGAGGAACUCAGCAUGCCGCAAGGCCGGGUGUUUACACCACGUACGUGCUUAGGAUGUUGACAUAUAUAAUGGCUUUAAUCGACCCGUCUUGAAACACGGACCAAGGAGUCUAACAUGCCUGCGAGUGUUUGGGUGGAAAACCCGAGCGCGUAAUGAAAGUGAAAAGUUGAGAUCCCUGUCGUGGGGAGCAUCGACGCCCGGAUCAGACCUUUUGUGACGGUUCCGCGGUAGAGCAUGUAUGUUGGGACCCGAAAGAUGGUGAACUAUGCCUGAAUAGGGUGAAUCCAGAGGAAACUCUGGUGGAGGCUCGUAGCGAUUCUGACGUGCAAAUCGAUCGUCAAAUUUGGGUAUAGGGGCGAAAGACUAAUCGAACCAUCUAGUAGCUGG
Molecule: ribosomal RNA, 906 nt
Filed under: Cortinarius armillatus
Lineage: Eukaryota; Fungi; Basidiomycota; Agaricomycetes; Agaricales; Cortinariaceae
Description: LSU rRNA
Rfam family: Eukaryotic large subunit ribosomal RNA
Source: RNAcentral